GCUUGGACCUGUACAUUGGGGAAACUAAACAACCGCUUCACAAGCGCAUGGCUCAACACAGGAGAACUACUUACUCAGGUCAGGACUCAGCUGUCCACCUUCACUUAAAGGACACGGGUCACUCUUUCGAGGACAGCAAUGUACAAGUGUUGGCCAAAGAAGACAGAUGGUUUGAAAGAGGAGUUAAAGAAGCCAUCUUAACCAGACUGGAGAAACCUUCUCUGAACAGAGGGGGUCGACUCAGGCACAAUCUCUCCAGCACUUACAAUGCAGUUCUCUGCUCUCUUCUCGGGAAGCUCCACAAACAUUCACACCUGGGACCACAUGACCCAGGUGGCAUGAGUCAUGUGGUCACAUGACAGGGGUCGUUAACGACCCCUUCAGGUUAAUGGGGGGGGGGGGGGGGUUUCUACGACCCAUUCUUUCCAGCUCUGUCUGUCCCCUUCUCCAGUAGGAUAAAUAUCUGCUCCUCACACUAGCAAUAUUUAGAACUGAAGAAGCUUCUUUGAUAAGAGGCGAAAUGUCUUCUCAACUCUACACAGUCCAGUUGCCUGAUUUUGGAGUCUUCAAGGAGGGGAAGGGUAGUGUUUACAUUCCAAAAUUCCUCCCCAAACUGAUAUUACUCACAUCCUGCCUACAUCACCUUUAAUAUUCAAACUACUGAACUUGAUUUAUUGUAUUUUUUUUGUAAAUAUUUACUAAUUAUGAAUUUAACCCUGUUAUUCAUUCCUAAAAAGUUGGUUUAGGGCAGGGGUCGGCAACCCGCGGCUCUGGAGCCGAAUGCGGCUCUUUCUUCCCUAAGCUGCGGCUCCCAAUGGAUUUGGAAAAUAAAUAAUAAAUACUUAAUUGCAUUUUAUUUUAUUUUAUUAUAAUUAUUAUUUUUUGUAAUUCUAAAUUCAAAGAUUAUAAUGCUCUUGUAACAUUAAAUAAACUAUUAAGGCUGCAACAACAAAUCGAUUAAGUAGAUUCGUCGUGACAAAAAAAUCCAUUGCCAACAAAUUCUGUAAUCGAUUCGUCGGGUCUUUAUAUAUGUCCAUGGACACCGGCGUGUAAACAUCAGCAGGACGCACAGAAAAGAAACAGCCAUGGCCGAGGCAGCGGCUGAGAAAAACAUGGACACAACCCAACCCAAAUCCCGACCUAAAACAUCAGUGGUGUGGGAAAACUUCACGAAGACUGAAAAGGAAGGCGUUCAGUGCAACAUUUGCAAAGACCGUUUUGCAUGGCUUGGGAGUACAUCGAUGAUGCGUGAGCACAGGGCUCUCAAGUCUCACGCAUUCAGCGUAUGACACACGCAUUCCCACUCGUUCACACGCUCACACACCACACAUUGUAUUUCUCACGCAUUUAAAUGAACACGGUGAUGUCCACCAAGUUGCACUUCUUCAACUAUGGAACUGGGGGAAAUCAACUGAGUUCCUCCGAGAGUUCAGAAGCUGCGUGCCACGCACAAGCCAAUCAAAUAAAGUAUAUCUACUGAACAGCCAAUCAAAAAGCAGCAUUGCUGUAUCCGGGUAGAUUUUGAUAUCUUGCGGUUUAACUACAGAAGAAGACAGACACUCGCCAAAAUAGUUCAUUUAUUUCAUAAAUGCAACUCGCUACAGUUUUUAAUAUACUUUGUAUAAAGGUGAAAAAAAAGAUAUAUGCAAUGUUAUCUUCAUUUUAGAUGUCAAAGAGGUUUUGUGGCUCCCUGUGUUUUCUUUUCUGUGGGAAACUGGUCCAAGUGGCUCUUUGAGUGUUUAAGGUUGCCGACCCCUGGUUUAAGGUCAUGUUUCUCUCUGUGUUACAUCACCUUUCACUCAGUAAGCUUUUGUGAACUGAGGACAGUGAGUGUUAAAGCUUUGGAGACGAAUUCUUUUUCAGUCUUCAUUCAUCAACCACUUCAUCUGACCAAUAGUUUGUGGUCUUCAUUGUCACAUUUUGCACUUCAGUUAUCACUAACUCUCAGUCUGUGUGGCGCAUUAUGAAGUGCAGGUUUAAAAUAAACUUGGUUUAAACUUUGAGCAAGCAUUACAACCUUUAGUUAAUUUUAAAAUCAUACACAUUUACUUGAAGUCUGUUAUUAAUUUUACUUAUUGUCAUUAUUUUAUUAAAAAGGAAUCAUUUUAGGGCAGUUUGAGGCUAAACCCGAGCUCAUGCAAACACACUUGCACCACAGAGAUGGUCUGGGCUGUGGAAAACAAGUGUUUUUAUCUGGACAAGGUGCUCUUCAUGGUUUGCUUCAUGUUAAGCUUUCUAAAAACUGUGAUAAUUUAGCAAUUUACAGUGGCAAGGAAGAACUUACUUUUAACAGGCAGAAACCUCAAACAGAACUGGACUCAUUUUGGACAGAGAUCUGCCUUGUUGGGCUUAGAAAGGUAUGGGUGCUACACCUAAUGGCUUGGAUAGGUCCUUUGAGUGUGUGUAUUGAGAAGGUAGGCUAAAUGCAAGGGCUUUAUGGCUUCAUUAUCACUGAUGAUGGCUUAUCAAUAAUGAUAUCCUUUGUUUCUUAGGAAGAUGCUGAAUGACACAUGACAUUAUGUUAUGUAGGUCAUUAAUGUCAUUGUUGUAACUUGUUUAAUAUAGUUUACUGACCCUGGAUAUUUAUCACCCAUACCGGUUUUUGAAAAGUUGUCUUCCUGUACACAAUGAAAGGAUUAUCAUCUGUUAAACUGAACAAACCUUAAUUCACAGUGUUGUUGUAUUCCUUCACAGAGGCACGAGCAGUGGGGAAUUCACAUGGGGUCCAUCUUUUUGCAUGCUGUGUGGUUGGUCUGGUGGUGGUCACAAGAAUGCCUUUUAGACUGACUUUUCUUCGCAGUAAACAUUUGCAGUGUUGGAGUUCGCAGUGUGCUCACUUUGUGGUGUCUGAUGGGGUUUGCCAUAGAAUCUCCCCACAGUAAGGACCCUGUCCAGGCAUUGCAUUUUAUUACACUGUAAAUCUGCUUGAUAGUCUUUUUCAACCGUAGGAGUUGAUAGAUUUUAGUUUUCGUAUAAACCUGUGGAAAUAAAACUACUUAAUUUUAUUACCUCUUUCUUAUAGGGUCUUCAAUUGAGAAUCUUAAUCAUCCUAAACCAUCCAAUCUGUGACUAAAAUGUGUCUCCUGCUUUUGUUGAACCUGUAAAAAAAAGUUUUUUUUAUGUCAAUUCAUUUGAAGAAAGGGGGCCUUCCCCCGGACCAAGUGUUCAUUUUUCCCGGCCCCAAGGGUCCUUACGUUCCUUUUAUAGUACUGUGUCUAGUCACAAACAGGUUUAAUCAAAAAACAAAGUUAUAAGCCCACUUUUCAAAGUAAAGAGUGUCUGCUAUGGGAAGGCUAAAAACCGGAGCCUCUACCUCCCAUAAUACAUUUACAGACGGAAUGUACAACCAUAAAUUACUGUGAGCAUAAUGUGGGCUAAUAGGGCACUAUAAGCUUUUUAAGAGGUUAAUGUGGGGAUUGAAGGCAAGCUGUCAUACCUUUCGCUGUUACAAUAAAAUUUAACUUGAAGUUAAGGUGAAAGCCCCCAGCAAAAAAACUAGAAUGAGAAGUAAUUCACAUACUUCUAGUUUUAGAAUCUGAUAUAGACAUUUCCUUGUGGGCCAUAGACUGUAUAUAGCAUAGACACAAUCUGCCUCCUCGUUGGAUGAAGCCUCCACGAAAACAGCACCCUCUGUUGACAUGCUGCAACAUAAGUCAUAAAUCCCGCCUCCUCCAGCAAAUGAAUGGAGUUGUGGACAAACACAAACACAGACUACAAAUUUUUCUCCCUCCUUUGUUGCAAUGUUGACAUGGGGUUGACAGGGGUUUAUGUUUUCCAUGAUUGACACCUCAGUACAGCCUAUGGGCGGACGAAGAUUGCGUAGAUCACCCGGGAGAUACGCUGUUUGAGCAGAAAUUUAUCACAGCAUUUUCCGCCAAAAACUACCACAUAGAUGCUGGUUUCAGUAAAAUCCCGGGAACACUGAGAGCAAUUUGGCUUCAAAUUUGUUCAACCCUAAUGGAAGGUGGAGCCACGUUGUCCAUACUGCAUACAGUCAAUAGUGUGGGUUAAGUUUGCUUUAGACACACUCCAGGUUAUAGGUGUAUUGUACAGAUGGGUCCUCCUUUCUGGUUUUGCAGCAGUAUUUGAUUUGUGAAUUCAACUUUUCCUCUAUAGCCAUGGAGGAAAAUAUACUGCAUAAAUGACUUUGGAAAACUGAACCGAGUAUUUCUCUGCACCUCUGUCAUCACUAUAAAACAAUCAAUUAGAGUAUCCUUCUAUUCAUGUGCAGAGUGUACUUAUGUUACACCUUGUGAAGGCCUCUUUUUUCAGCGUAAUGCUUGUUUCCAUGGUGAUGACUCCUACUCUUCCAUACUCUCUGCUUUCAGGUUUGCACUGCUAUGGUAAUAGAGCUUCACUCUAAGCAUUUUUAAUAACAUAUAUUCUGAGUAAGACAGAAGUAAAAUAAAAAAGUAACACAUCAAUUGUUCCAGAGUGUACUCAGAUAAAUUUUCUUGAAAUCUUGUUGGAAGGUUUAGACAUCAAUAUUAAACCCAUCAAAGGGACUUUUUGCCUGUGUCUCUUUCUGUUAAGCACAGUAAAAAAAAAAAGGAUCAAAGUAAAGAUAACAUGUGUAUCCAUGUGUUUAGCACAGUUAAAAAGGGUAAAGUAUAAGGAACAGGUGAUUUCAGUCUUUAUUUUCCGUAAAUUUUCAAUAUUAGGAAAAAAAUGGGGAUUUUAAAUGAGAAGAAAUGAAAGUUGGAAAUUGGAAUUGUAUUUCUGGUAACACUUUUACUGAAUAAUCUUGUCAUGCUUGCUCAACCACUUUAUAUAAUGUAAUCUUCUGGGCUUUGAGAAAAAAACUGUUGAGCCAUAAUUCAGCCCCAACUGCUGGCACAAAUUUGAAAUUUCUUCAAGGUCAGCUACCACUUUUCACAUCACUAUACUCCCUUCCACAUGCUCUGCGGACAUUGUUCAAAUCCAAGAUUCAUCUGGCUGCCUUUGCAUGAUUCAACAAAAUGACAAAAAAUAACAGGCAGUGCAGAGAUAGUGAGGGAGAGCUCUCCUACAAAUAUAACACCUUCCAAAGCUCCGAAACAAUAACCUAUCAAUACAGUUUAUGUGAGGCUCAUUGUGAUUUCCUUUGGUAGUACCAUUUUUUUACUUUUAAUUUUAAUUUUUUAUAAUCAUUCUCAUUAAAUUAUAGAAAAUGCUUGCAGGAAAUGAGAACAGGUAAAAAGGGAAAAAGUGCUGAAACUAGGGUUCCAGCAUCUAAUCAGGCGUGGCUGGCUCAAGCACUUUUUCCUCACUUACAGCAUUGACUAAAUUGAUCAUUUAUUGUUUAGUAUCUAUGUAUAAGAAAUUAUUUUGUUCCUCUGCAUUCUAUGUUUUGAAGUCAUCCAUAUGUCUAAUGUCCCUGUACACAACAAUUUUAGACUACCAUCAACAGAUGUUGAUGGUAGUCUCAAAUGUAUUAUUUUGCUUUGAAUUUAAGGCCAUGUACACAUGUAGCCGGGUAUUUUUAUGAAUGAAUAUCCAACCCCCUCUGUCUUAAGAAAAAAAAAAAAAAUCACAUACAAACAUCAUCGUUUUAAAAUAAAAUCCCAUCCCCACAACACCGCGUAAAUGUGCUACUGACCAUGGUUAUAAGCAUGCCAGACCUGGAGUUGGUUGGAUUUGCGACAAAGUUAGACCCAAGUUAGAUCCAAUCAGAGCAAGCUUCCCUUUCUUGUUGUCACUUCUCCAAACAUGACACAUAGCACUGUGUAGUUUGUUCAUGUGGACCGACAAAGAGGUGUAAUAGCUUUUAAGCAUCAUUUUAGAUUAUAAAGUUAUCAAGACACAAGAAAGGUGGAGGUAGGGUUAUUUGAUGCAGAAAAAAACGACUACAAAGCACUCCUCCUUUGAUCCUCACAAAAAUAUAUAUUUUGUUUAUAUCUGUGCCAUCCACUGCCUGACGCUAACAAGGGAACACAGUAUAUGACAUUUAUAUAUUAGUUGUCAAAGACACUGACAUUUGGGAAUUUAUAACUCUAUGACCACAUGCAAAUGCAAAACCAGAGUUUCCUAAAAUCUUCACUUUGACAGGAGCUUUCCAAAAGCACCUUUUAAAAUAAUGUUUCAUGUGGCUUCGUGUGGAUGACAGGCUAAAUCGUACAAAAGUGUCUUUGUUUUAGCAGGUACCUGGCUACAUGUGCACAUGGCCUUAGAGAGUUAAUCUGUAAAGGAAAGUAGCAGUCUUAACUUGUACAAAUUAGGUGAAAGCACACUAAAAACUGGUCAAAUGAACUAAGUAGAUGUAACCAACAGCAGCACCAAGAAAAAAUAAACAAGAGUUGGGGGGAGUGGGGCCACAUCUUUUAGAAUAGGGACUAGUUACUAAAUAUUUACUCGAUGGGCUCUAUUUUCAUGCCUAGCGGCAGUGGGGCAGAGGGUGGCACACCCCACACAGAGGUACUUUUGGAGCCUGGUGCACAGCUGGUUUGGUAUUUUUGUAGACUGAGGCACUCUGAGGUCUGCCAAGCUGGGCGACGUGGCGCAGUAGAUGGAGGUGUCAACAGAAUCAGCUGACGCAAUGACAUUUUCGUGCUCACUGGCGGUAUGGAAAGUGCGCUGAAAGCUCGCCGAUUCAAACCUGGUCAGCUUUUAGCGCAGGUGGAGUGCAGCUGGUCUAGUGGUAUUUUAGUAAACUGGCAGCGUAGUGUGCAUACGUCACCAAUGCCUCACCAGCAGGUUUCCACAACUUCAGUGCAAUAAAUAAUCAACAACAACCAAUAUUCAGUGCAACUAUCAGAGUCAGCACAGACAUUUAGAUGUUUAUCAAUAUAUUCUGAUCCAUAACUUAUCUAAUGAGCGCAAUUGGCACGUGUUUGGAUACUCAACUUGACUGAAUUAACAUUAAAUUAAAUAUUCUGUAUUUACUGUCCCUCUUCUUCAUUGCGCAGUUUGACACAGACACAUCUCCGUGUCCUCUUCCCGUACUGCUGCUGUUGCGGCGGCAAGGCUGACCAAAUGAUAUAUUUUAGUGAUCAGAUGAGUUGUUUACUGCGAAAAUUUGAACAAAAAAAAAGAAUAAUUAAAGACACUUUCAUUCAAAAUUACCUGUUUAUCUGAUGUUCUCACAUUCUAAAUAUUGUGUGAAUAUUCAAUCCGGAGUUAGGCCCACAUACCGGUAUUGUAAUAUUCAGUUGCAUUAAGUUCAUUUUGUAUGCCAACAUCAAUGAAAGAAAGAGCCAGGCCACAGAGCGCAAUUCAUCCUUUACGUACAGGUGGUUCUGAUUUUAAUGCCAUUAUAAGAAUUUGUUUGUGUUGUGAUCUGUGCGCACAACCCACCUUUGUCACAUGGGUUUUGAAUAUAUGCAACUUGAUGUGAUUGUCUUUAUUUGUAGAAAAGGGUGUAUGUCUUACCAGUGGGUACAACCUUACACACACCAAAUCCCUCUGUGCUUAUUUGAGACAGUGUGGAGGACGCCCUCCACAGUGCUGCCUCCUGUUGCCAUCGUGUGGCAUUGCUGGGAGGGGGUAUAAUUACGCCGGGCUGCGCCGCUCACUAAUAUACCAAAGUGUGUUUGGGCAAGCCUCAUUGGCGCGGCGGACUUGACUUACGCCACGCUGCCGGGGAGGCAUGAAAAUCAAUCAAUCAGUCUUUAUAUAUAUAGCACUUUUCAUACAUAGCAUGCAGCACAAAGUGCUUCACACAGAAAAAGGAAUAAAAGAAACAAAGAAUACCCAGAUCAACCCCAGCCUAACCGCUCAUUCCCACCCCACAAUCUAAUUGCAACAGAAACAGUAUGAAAAUGCAUGAACUUAAAGAGGGCUUGAUUUCGUUGAAACAAGAACGUGCGCAGAGGUAAACGUCAUUUUAAAACUCAAGAUAAGGAAACACUGGAGGUUAAUGUUAAAAUCUAAAAACAAAGACACAUAAAAUGAAAUUUAAGAAAUAAUAAAUAAAAUGAAAUAAAAACAACAGUAGAAGAUACUAAAAUAAGAGCACCAAAAUAGCUCAAUAAAAGAUGAUCCUGUGAUUUAAACUAGAAUAGAUAAAUGCUAAAACACUUAAAAAUAGAGCCCUAUAAAUAAGAACAUAACACAUAGAGACAUUUGAGUAUUAUGACGAAACAGAAUGCAUAUCACCAAAGAUCAUCACCAUGGAAACAUUUGUGGAUUUAAUCAAUACCGUAAC
Molecule: long non-coding RNA, 8122 nt
Filed under: Xyrichtys novacula (pearly razorfish)
Lineage: Eukaryota; Metazoa; Chordata; Actinopteri; Labriformes; Labridae
Source: RNAcentral